AACGCGAAGAACCUUACCCAGGCUCGAAAUGUAGAGGACGAUAUCAGAGAUGAUAUUUUCCGCAAGGACUUUUAUAUAGGUGCUGCAUGGCUGUCGUCAGCUCGUGCCGUGAGGUGUUGGGUUAAGUCCCGCAACGAGCGCAACCCUUAUCAUUAGUUGCCAACACGCGAGGUGGGGACUCUAAUGAGACUGCCUGGGUUAACCAGGAGGAAGGUGAGGAUGAUGUCAAGUCCGCAUGGCCUUUAUGUCUGGGGCUACACACGUGCUACAAUGGUCGGUACAGAAGGCAGCAAGACCGCAAGGUGGAGCAAAUCCGUAAAGCCGAUCACAGUUCAGAUUGUAGUCUGCAACUCGACUACAUGAAGUUGGAAUUGCUAGUAAUGACGUGUCAGCAACAACGUCGUGAAUACGUUCCCGGGCCUUGUACACACCGCUCGCGA
This 440-nucleotide ribosomal RNA is filed under the name uncultured bacterium. RNAcentral's name for it is "bacterial SSU rRNA". It matches the Rfam family "Bacterial small subunit ribosomal RNA", at positions 958 to 1399 of the family's 1533-position model. The record is from RNAcentral.